UAAAAGUCGUAACAAGGUUUCCGUAGGUGAACCUGCGGAAGGAUCAUUAAAGAGUAAGGGUGCUCAGCGCCCGACCUCCAACCCUUUGUUGUUAAAACUACCUUGUUGCUUUGGCGGGACCGCUCGGUCUCGAGCCGCUGGGGAUUCGUCCCAGGCGAGCGCCCGCCAGAGUUAAACCAAACUCUUGUUAUUAAACCGGUCGUCUGAGUUAAAAUUUUGAAUAAAUCAAAACUUUCAACAACGGAUCUCUUGGUUCUCGCAUCGAUGAAGAACGCAGCGAAAUGCGAUAAGUAAUGUGAAUUGCAGAAUUCAGUGAAUCAUCGAAUCUUUGAACGCACAUUGCGCCCCUUGGUAUUCCGAGGGGCAUGCCUGUUCGAGCGUCAUUACACCACUCAAGCUAUGCUUGGUAUUGGGUGCCGUCCUUAGUUGGGCGCGCCUUAAAGACCUCGGCGAGGCCUCACCGGCUUUAGGCGUAGUAGAAUUUAUUCGAACGUCUGUCAAAGGAGAGGACUUCUGCCGACUGAAACCUUUAUUUUUCUAGGUUGACCUCGGAUCAGGUAGGGAUACCCGCUGAACUUAAGCAUAUCAA
Molecule: ribosomal RNA, 589 nt
Filed under: uncultured eukaryote
Lineage: Eukaryota
Description: eukaryotic LSU rRNA
Rfam family: 5.8S ribosomal RNA (bases 230-383)
Source: RNAcentral